UACUAAAAUAGAAAUCUUAAUAAAAUAUUAAAAUAAAAACUUUAAUUAAAUUCCUAUAAAAAUUUAGUCAAACCUUAAUCAAAUCUUAGUCAAACCUUAGUCAAAUCCUUAUUAAAUUCUAAUCAAUUUCCAAAUAAUCCAUAACCAAAUCCUAGUCAAAUUUUAAAAAAAUCCUAACAAAAUCCUAAUUAAAUCCUAAAUAAAUCCUAAUCAAUCUUAAAUAAAAUUUAGUCAAAUCCUAAAGAAACCUUAAAUAAGUCCUAAUCAAACCUUAAAAAAAAUCCAAGUCAAAUCCUAGUCAAUCUUAAAUAAAAUUUAGUCAAAUCCUAAAUAAACCUUAAAUAAGUCCUAAUCAAACCUUAAACAAAUCCAAGUCAAAUCUUAGUCAAAUACUAAUCAAACUUUAAACAAAUCCUAAACAAACUCUAACUAAAUCCUAAGCUAAACCAAAUCCUAAACCAAACUCUAAAUCAAAUCCUAAAUCAAAUCCUAAACCCUAACCAAAUCUUAGACAAAUUCUAAGAAAAUCUUAAAUAUGUCAUAACCAAACCUUACACAAAUCCUAGAAAAAUCCUAGUCAAAUCUUAAUUGAAUUCUAAUCAAAUCCUAAACAAAUCCUAACUAAAUCCUAAUUAAAUCAAAUCCUAAACUAAAUCCUAAAUCUUAGCCAAAUCCUAACCAAAUCCUAACCGAAUCCUAAUCAAUUCUAAGUAAUUUCUAUAGCAGAUUUAGACCUCAAUAACUAAUGAAUGAACCAUUAAUUUCAACUCAAAAUUUACACACUUCUUAAAAGUUAAGUUAACAACUAGUAUUAAAAAAAUUCAAAAGAAUCAGAAUUAUCAAAUAGAUAAUAAUCUCAAAAAUAUGCUUGGAUAUCCCCUGGCUUCCUUCUCUGACCUUGAUGCCAAUCUCUCAGAGUCAAUUAUUCUUGAUUCAACCAUUACUUUACUUUCAAACUUUAUAAACUUAUUAGAAAUCAAGCUGACUACUUCUAUAAAAAAUAAUUGUCUCAAUCUAACUAGCGGAUUGAUAGAUAUCUAAGAAAACCUCAC
Molecule: long non-coding RNA, 1052 nt
Filed under: Physcomitrium patens
Lineage: Eukaryota; Viridiplantae; Streptophyta; Bryopsida; Funariales; Funariaceae
Description: long non-coding RNA (PPAT_LNC003444)
Source: RNAcentral